AUACGUAGGGGGCGAGCGCUGUCCGGAAUGAUUGGGCGUAAAGGGCGCGUAGGCGGCCUGGUAAGUCUGGAGUGAAAGUCCUGUUUUUAAGAUGGGAAUUGCUUUGGAUACUGUCGGGCUUGAGUGCAGGAGAGGUAAGUGGAAUUCCCAGUGUAGCGGUGAAAUGCGUAGAGAUUGGGAGGAACACCAGUGGCGAAGGCGACUUACUGGACUGUAACUGACGCUGAGGCGCGAAAGUGUGGGGAGCAAACAGGAUUAGAUACCCUGGUAGUCCACACUGUAAACGAUGAAUGCUAGGUGUAGGGGGUAUCGACCCCUUCUGUGCCGCAGUCAACACAAUAAGCAUUCCGCCUGGGGAGUACGGCCGCAAGGUUGAAACUCAAAUGAAUUGACGGGG
RNAcentral lists this ribosomal RNA (397 nucleotides) under uncultured bacterium. RNAcentral describes it as "partial 16S ribosomal RNA". It matches the Rfam family "Bacterial small subunit ribosomal RNA", at positions 523 to 918 of the family's 1533-position model. The record is from RNAcentral.